AAGCGGGAAGAGAAAAAGAUUAGACUUUUUCUUUUCACCAAUUAAUCAUUUCGACCGUUUAAUUAACGUUUAUUUUAAUUAUUUUCUUAAUUUAUCACAGUGGCUAAUUCGUCGGACGAUUACUAAUAACAAGAAGCGAAACAAUUAAAUGGGUGAUCAAUUUUGUUUCUUCUUCUCUUCGGUUAAUCAUAACCGUUUGUGUCUCCAUUUUGUUUUUGUUUCUUUUCCAUGAUUUCAUGUAAGUAGAUCAUUUAUUUUCUCUUGAUUUCAUUUGAUUCUAUUUUUUAUUCUUUUCUUAUUUUCGCUUUGAUUGUUGGAGUAUAUUCACUGAUUAGACUGAUAUCCCAAUUCUCUGGUCAUUCUUUAGCUUUUAAUUAAGAUGGACAAUCAAUAUGGAUAGAAAAUUGUAACAGAUGAGCUUGUGAUAAUCUCUUCCUCCUCCUCCUCUCUCUCUCAUGGAUGAUAAAUGGUAACCCAAUGGUGGAUUUUGAUACAAAUCGCUGGUGAGAAAAAAAUUUCCUCAUAUUGACUAACUCUCUUGGACUCAUUGUUUUCCCUCCAUCUGAUUUGUGUCUCCAGUUAUUCCUGAGUAUUUUUUUUUGUUGUUCUUAAGAAAAGAACAAUGUUCCAUCGUCAUUUUCAUCUCAUCAUCUUUUUCCAUCAUCAAGAUAAUCAAUAGAUUUAUGAACAUUUGGAAUCAACCAACAGCCCAGAAAAAUAUAAAGAGAGAUAACAUUCAGAUUUAAUGUUACUUAUGCAAAAUAUACUAUGGAAAUUUGAAAUUCUCUCACACAUCAUGAAGAUAUAAAAAGAAUCAUCAUUAUCACCAUGGAAAAGCCAAAGGCCUGAAACUCAACUCUUUCCAAAAGUGAAAGUAUCAAAGAUAAAAAAUAAGAGAAGAAGCAAAAAUGAUUCCAAACAUACUUCAUUUCUAAUUUGAUUGUUUUCUGCUCUUUUUCCACCAAACCUCUAAAAUACUUUUCCAUGGAACAACCCAAGGAAUAGGAAGACAUUGGGAAAGAAAAAUCAUCAUGAGUAAUAUAAAAGGUUGGAAAAUAGUAAUGGUUUCAACAAAGAAAAAAAAAUUCUGUAUCUAAACCAUUGCACCUCAUCUAUUUUCAAUGAUGAGUCCCUUCAGAAUUUUUCUUCACAUCAUCAUACACAAAGUGGAUAGACAUUGUGGAAAAUAGUUCAUUGUGUUACCCUCUCCCCCCUCUCUCUCUCUCUCACUUAUCCCACCACACAGAAAUAAGGAGGAACAACUUAAAAAAGGUUAAUCAAGAUGAUAAACAUCAAUGAGAAGCAGAUGCAAUCCCAAUGUGUUUCCCUUUAAGGAUGUUGAAGCCACGAGAAAAGAUGGAGAUAAAGAUGAAGAAGAAAAAAAGUAAGAGGCUACACAUUUAGCUCAUCAAUAAGAGUUUUUUUUCGCUUGGUAUCAAAUAAGUGAACAUGAUGUUGUGACAAGGAUUUAUUAAUUUACUAAUUGUUAAAAGUGACUAAUGACAAUUUGUUGUUGGCCAACAAGAACUGACAUAAAUUACUACAUGAAAAAAAAAGAGGGACCAUAGACUUUAAAUCUGCUUCACUUCUGAACGAUAAUGAUGAUAAACAAGAGGCUAACCAAUGAUUAUGAUGAUAAUGAUGAUGAUGAGAUUUAACAUGAAUGAACAACGUUGGACUCAAGGGCCUACUCAUUGAACAGCUAAUGGUUAAGCUUAUCAAGGAUGGCAAAAAAUGCUAAGGACGGGCCAAUGAAGUUGAUGAUAAUAAUAUUUUGUGACUAAUUAGUACUCCAAACUAAUUAACGUGCAUAACAACAUCACAAAGUUUACUAUUUGAUCACAGGGAAAAAAAGGAAUCAUGGAUUUCAAGAUCUCGUUUCUCAUGCAAGAAAAGAGGAGGAUAUUAAGCUCAUCUACACCAUGAUGAUGAUGAUGAAGAUGAUGAUCACCACCAACAAGGCAAAAGCGGAGGAGUAGGAGGGAAAGAGGAGGAUGAGCAAAUAUUAUUAAUAAUAAUGAUGAUUAUCAUCAUCAUAAUAAUGAGGAGUAACUAUUAGAGGAUGGAGAUGAAGAUGAACAACAACAACAACGAAAAUGAGGGAAAAGAAAUUUAAAAAAUGUAUCAUUACCUUAUCUAUCUGUUAUUUCAUCAUCAUAAAACUCAGAUCACAUCUUUAACAAUCAUCUUGAUCAUCAUCAUCAUCAUUCUCAUCAUCAUCUUAUGAGAGAAAGUACAGUAAAGGGAUUUUGUAUUGGUCCAAUGAAUUUAACAAUGACAAUCAAGGAUAAAGAAUCUUGUUGAGCUUUAAAUUACAAUCAACUAAUUAUAAUACUACAUAAACAAUUUGGAAAGAGAGAGAGAGAGGAAAAAAAGUCUCAAGACAAUGUUGAUUUCCCUGGAUAAGGAUUGAAGAUUCAAGAAAUUGGUUAAGAAUCAAGUUUUAUCUCUCAUGUUUGUUCAACCAAAUCAACAACAAUUUCACGGACCAACUGUUAACAUGAUGAUGACCUGAGUUUUCAAUAUUCCAAUUGCAGUAAUACAAUAACAGUGCAACAAUUUAAUAACAUCAUCAAGAGGUAAAGAGAGAGUAAGAUGAACAAAAUUUUUCAACUCUCGAAUUGGUUUCAUGGACUUUCAGGUUUACAAUUAAAGUAACAAGAUACAGAUCAAUUAUACGAAUUACUAAAUCACUUUGAUGGUCUAAUUCAGGUAAAAUUAAUAUCUGAAUCACAGAAUUGAUUCUAACAUCAAGAUUUAAAGAUUGAUACAAAUUCAGAAGCAAAGUUCUGGAAAGAGAGAAAUUAUCUCCUCUGAACAAAUUGAUCGAUUUUUUUUCUCACCACUGAACGGAAAUGCUAACAAAGUGUUACCUUGAAAAUUUGAACUGAAUUUACUCCCGAUGAAGAUGAAGAUGAUAUUUUGGUCUUCAACAGUUUAUCAUCUUGAUCCUUAUCAUCAUUAUCAUCAUUAUCAUCAUCAUGUUUACCUGUAAAGUCAAUAUUGUUUCAAGGUUGACCAUUAUGAUUUAUAUUUACUUUUACCUUGGAUGUUGAUUGUUUAUUGGAAAAUCAAUUUGAAUCAAUUAUCAUUAUGCUAAUCAAUUUGGUCGUUUCUUAUUUAAUUGUUAAUAUUAUCUAAUUAUUAUGAUAAUUUAAUGAUUAUUAUUAAUAUUCCAGUGUGAUGAUUAGUGAAGUUAAUUGUUGCUGUAAUAUUUACAUAAUUACGAUGGUGACGAUGUAAUUUUAAUCGGUUAUUUAAUCAAAUUUGGUUAAUCAAUCAAGAAGCAUAAACAACAUUAGAUGAUGAUUAUGUUAAUUAAAUGGACUUUAAGGUUUUUACAAACACACAAUUAAUUUAAAUUGUUUACAAUUUAACAAGAAACUUAUCCCAGCAAUCAACCAAAUCGGAAAAUCAACAACGCUAAUCAAUUGAGAAAGUUAAAUUGUUAUCAUUGUGAAUUUGGUAAUAAUAAUUGAAGGAUUGGCUUUGAUCAUUAAUAAGACUUAAUAAUUAACUAAUGAUACAGAAUCAUUAAAUUGUAUAUAAUUUAUAAAUUAAUGUUUCAUUUUUAAAAUUAAUCAUCAGUGAUGACAAGAUAAACUUGUCAUCGUAAUUAUAAUUAUCAUUAUGAUUGUGAUCACUAAUCAUAUUUGAAAUUAAGCCUUUUUUUACACAAUGAUAAUAAUCAUGGAAUCACAAUUAACUUAUUAACCAUUGGGAAGAUCAUAAUGAAAAACGAAACCAAACUGACAACAAUUAACCCCGUUGAUUAAUGUAACCACGAGGACAAUCAAUUGAUUUCAACAUGUAAGCAGUUAACAUUUCUCAGGAUGUAAUUUAAUUCCCCAAUAAUCAAGCCAAUAAUUGACAAUGAUUAGAGUUGAUAACAAGAUGGAUUCCAAUGGGUUUACCAUUGAUUAUUUAACAACUUCAUCAAUCUUAUAUUUUUUAUCUUCACCUUAUCUUCUUGCUGGUUGAUACUUUUCCAUCUUCCUAAUCAAUAUAAUGAUAAUCAUCAUCAUCUUUAUCAUCAUUAUUAUCUUCAUCCGUCAGAAAGUCACAUCAUCUCUUUUCACGAUCUUGUUUCUUUUUUUCUGGUCAAUUUAAGAAUCUAAAGCAAAACUGUUUCUCUUUCUCUCUCUCAUUCUGUCCCUUGUGAUGUCCAAUUAGUGGACAGAAGAAGAUAAAGAUGAUGAUGAUGAUGAAAAUUUCUGUAAUGAUGAUAAUCUUAAAGAGGAAAAAGAAGAUGAAAGAUGGAAGAUGAAGGAUACGAAAGAACCUGAGAAUGAGAGUUGAUAGUGAAUAAGGUGAAGAUUAAAAUUAUCUUUGAUUCGAUAUCAAUGUUAUAUGAAAUGUUUUCCAGAUUCUUGCAUUUGAUAUUUGAGAUGAACAAUUUUCAUAAAUAUGACUCAAUUUGAGAUGAUUUAAUGAUCUGAAUUAUCAUGAUAAUCAUCAUGCUGAUUAUUUCCAUCAAUUUACAAAGUAAGAUGAUCAGCCAUUAGAAAGUAAAAGUCAACACUAACAAGGAUGAGGAUAAACUGAUGCUGAUGAUGAUUUUUGACCACCGUUGGAAAUGUUCAUUGUAUUGAGACGGUAAAUAAAUAUUGAUGAUGAACUGGAUUUGUGAAUCGAGCUGAAUUGCCCGAGGGUGGAUAAAGUGUAAACCAGAAAUCCUUGGAAAAAGAAAACAAGAAAGGACAAAAAGACAUAGAAAAUGACAGAUUGAAAUGCAAGAGAUUGAAAGAGAAGAUGAUUUAACUUUUCUCUCUCUCUCUCUCUUUAAAUGCCUCGGAUGUUAAUUUAAGGAUAAAGUUUCAAAAUAUCAUCUCUCCAUCAUCUUACUCUCAAUGUCAACAAGAUGAAACACUUAAAUGAGUAAACUUUACAGAGAGAGGGAACUGACAUACCGCCGGGGUUAUCGGAUAGUGUAAAAAAAUGGAUUCAGUAAUUGAGGAGGGUGAUGGUUACCGAGACGAGAAUCAGUAAAAAGGUAGCAACAGGAUCAUCAACAGAAGCAACUUCUCAACUUGUUCAACAUCAUCUUCAUCUUCAUCAUCAUUAUCAUCUGCUAGAUGAAAGUAAAUAUUAAACAUGAUGAUCAACAGCAAACCCCAAAAAUGAUAUACGAUAUCGUAGGAGGAGGAUGAGGAUGAGGAGAGAGGAGGUGAAAUACAUUUUACUUGUUAACCCGAUGACAUUUUUCCUCCUCCUGUUUUUUGUGUACAUUUAGCUGAUUACAUAGUUAUCUUCAUCUUCAUCAUCAUCAUUUUACAUAUAUUAAGACAAACAACAACAACAACAACAACAACGACAUCAACCAAGGUGAAAUCUCAAUACAAAAGGUAAAAGAAAACAAAAUCUACUUUAACCUUAAAAUUGCCGAGAGCAGAUUUAGUUUUAUCCUAACAAUCACAUUGCAUUUACCUGGAAAAUAAAACAUUACCUGGAUUUUACCUUUUCUGCUCUGGCUACUCAACUAAUAACAAUGGCGGUGAUGGUGGUGAGGGUAAGGAUGAAGGUGGUGG
This is a long non-coding RNA of Panonychus citri (citrus red mite), 5528 nucleotides long. RefSeq lists it as uncharacterized. The transcript is spliced from 13 exons. Lineage: Eukaryota; Metazoa; Arthropoda; Arachnida; Trombidiformes; Tetranychidae. The record is from RefSeq and is a predicted model, not a curated record.